UUAAAUCAAAUUUGUAUAGAGUUGGAACGUUUGCCUACAUUUUCCGCUAGGGGCGCUGUUCCAACUGCAUACAAAUUUAAAUUA
Molecule: microRNA precursor, 84 nt
Filed under: Bombyx mori (domestic silkworm)
Lineage: Eukaryota; Metazoa; Arthropoda; Insecta; Lepidoptera; Bombycidae
Description: mir-2807 microRNA precursor family
Rfam family: mir-2807 microRNA precursor family
Source: Rfam by way of RNAcentral